GUGGGGAAUAUUGGACAAUGGGGGGAACCCUGAUCCAGCCAUGCCGCGUGUGUGAAGAAGGCCUUUUGGUUGUAAAGCACUUUAAGCGAGGAGGAGGCUACCGAGAUUAAUACUCUUGGAUAGUGGACGUUACUCGCAGAAUAAGCACCGGCUAACUCUGUGCCAGCAGCCGCGGUAAUACAGAGGGUGCGAGCGUUAAUCGGAUUUACUGGGCGUAAAGCGUGCGUAGGCGGCUUUUUAAGUCGGAUGUGAAAUCCCCGAGCUUAACUUGGGAAUUGCAUUCGAUACUGGGAAGCUAGAGUAUGGGAGAGGAUGGUAGAAUUCCAGGUGUAGCGGUGAAAUGCGUAGAGAUCUGGAGGAAUACCGAUGGCGAAGGCAGCCAUCUGGCCUAAUACUGACACUGAGGUGCGAAAGCAUGGGGAGCAAACAGGAUUAGAUACCCUGGUAGUCC
This 451-nucleotide ribosomal RNA is filed under the name uncultured bacterium. Its description in RNAcentral is "partial 16S ribosomal RNA". It matches the Rfam family "Bacterial small subunit ribosomal RNA", at positions 354 to 796 of the family's 1533-position model. The record is from RNAcentral.